This 497-nucleotide ribosomal RNA is filed under the name uncultured bacterium. RNAcentral's name for it is "partial 16S ribosomal RNA". It matches the Rfam family "Bacterial small subunit ribosomal RNA", at positions 28 to 507 of the family's 1533-position model. The record is from RNAcentral.
GAUGGACGCUGGCGGCGUGCCUAAUACAUGCAAGUCGAGCGAACGGACGAGAAGCUUGCUUCUCUGAUGUUAGCGGCGGACGGGUGAGUAACACGUGGAUAACCUACCUAUAAGACUGUGAUAACUUCGGGAAACCGGAGCUAAUACCGGAUAAUAUUUUGAACCGCAUGGUUCAAAAGUGAAAGACGGUCUUGCUGUCACUUAUAGAUGGAUCCGCGCUGCAUUAGCUAGUUGGUAAGGUAACGGCUUACCAAGGCAACGAUGCAUAGCCGACCUGAGAGGGUGAUCGGCCACACUGGAACUGAGACACGGUCCAGACUCCUACGGGAGGCAGCAGUAGGGAAUCUUCCGCAAUGGGCGAAAGCCUGACGGAGCAACGCCGCGUGAGUGAUGAAGGUCUUCGGAUCGUAAAACUCUGUUAUUAGGGAAGAACAUAUGUGUAAGUAACUGUGCACAUCUUGACGGUACCUAAUCAGAAAGCCACGGCUAACUACGUG